RNAcentral lists this ribosomal RNA (433 nucleotides) under uncultured bacterium. RNAcentral's name for it is "partial 16S ribosomal RNA". It matches the Rfam family "Bacterial small subunit ribosomal RNA", at positions 29 to 507 of the family's 1533-position model. The record is from RNAcentral.
AACGAACGCUGGCGGCAUGCCUAACACAUGCAAGUCGAACGAGACCUUCGGGUCUAGUGGCGCACGGGUGCGUAACGCGUGGGAACUUGCCCUUAGGUUCGGAAUAACUCCCCGAAAGGGGUGCUAAUACCGGAUAAUGUCUUCGGACCAAAGAUUUAUCGCCUUUGGAUGGGCCCGCGUUGGAUUAGCUAGUUGGUAGGGUAAAAGCCUACCAAGGCGACGAUCCAUAGCUGGUCUGAGAGGAUGAUCAGCCACGCUGGGACUGAGACACGGCCCAGACUCCUACGGGAGGCAGCAGUGGGGAAUAUUGGACAAUGGGCGAAAGCCUGAUCCAGCAAUGCCGCGUGAGUGAUGAAGGCCUUAGGGUUGUAAAGCUCUUUUACCCGGGAUGAUAAUGACAGUACCGGGAGAAUAAGCUCCGGCUAACUCCGUG